Molecule: long non-coding RNA, 1264 nt
Organism: Dreissena polymorpha
Lineage: Eukaryota; Metazoa; Mollusca; Bivalvia; Myida; Dreissenidae
Exons: 3
Source: RefSeq, a predicted model, not a curated record
ACACAAACUAUUUACGCAUAUUUAAACGAAUCAAAAUAUGAAACUCUAUGUGUAUAUUGUGAUAACAUGGUUGGGGCUUUUGAAUGCCCGGGAUCUGUCGGCAUACACGUGCUAUGUGUGCACGGGUACUACUCCUGACGACGACUGUGCCUUGCACAGGUCAGUGGCGUCCUCUUGGAACAUAUGUGGGUCCUGCUCGAAAAUAGACAUCAAUGGAGUUGUAUCAAGAAACUGCAAUCUUUUUGAAAAUGCCCGUGGCGACUAUUGCUACUCAUCCAAAGGCGUCACCACGUGUUCGUGCGACUCAGAUUUGUGCAACGUUGCUGGUCUUUCUACAGUUUCCGUUGGAGCGAUCGCAGUAACGUUGGCGAUCGCAAGCGUCAUGCUUUAAAACUACAUUAAACGAAACAGUUGAUUUGCGGUUUUGACAUUUAUAAAGCUUGCAUAUACAGCAAAAAGACAACAUAGAAAUGUAUUUAAAAUUUAUGAUUAUAAAAUAAAAUGUGCUAUUUGAUAUAUAUGUGUGAACUACAGAUAGACAAUCGUAUUUCCUAGAUUUAUAUGUGAGUUCAUAUUGGAAUUAGUGUCUUAUUACUUAACCUAUCCCAUGCAUUGCCUUAUCAAUCGUUUGUCUUUGGAAUUGUGGACGACUGAAACUCAGUUUAGUCUGUGUAUAACAUAUUUAUUUCGUGAGUGUCUAUGCUGUAUUAACAGGACGAAAAACAUAGUAUUGUCAUAUUUGUUUUAGAGUAUGCUUGCUUUGCGUAAGGGUCGAAGUGGUGUCAUAUUUCGAUAACUACACGUGUACAAACAUGCAUGUGGGUUAUCUCACACAUUUAAAGUCGUUCGGUUUUUAAUCAGAAUUCAUACUGCACAGGUGAAAACAUUUUGAUGAUAUAUUAAAUAUAUUGAUGAUAUAUCAAAGAACGUGUGUUGUGACUGCUCAUUGCUGGCGCAUGAAAAGACAUUCAUAUUGUGAUUCAUUUUUGUCACCUCAAAAAUCUAAACAUAAUACAUGUAUCAUUUAUCCGUGACAAUCGGAGGCUUUUGCAAGUGAGGAAGUUAGCCUGCAACAAGCCAAAGGCGCGGUUGCGCUCCUGAAUAUUCAUACAUUUUAUAAUUUCGUUAAUACUUUCCUGGUGAAAAUAGCCACCUAGAAUGACGAUAUUAAAAUAAAUUGAGAAAGAUAAGACGUCUCAUCCUUUCUAGGUGCGAACAGAUGAAAGCACACCUACCCCACACAAGCGCCCGGUCGCAACGGAUG